RNAcentral lists this ribosomal RNA (429 nucleotides) under Bacteroidota bacterium. RNAcentral's name for it is "Bacteroidetes bacterium partial 16S ribosomal RNA". It matches the Rfam family "Bacterial small subunit ribosomal RNA", at positions 355 to 776 of the family's 1533-position model. Lineage: Bacteria; Pseudomonadati; Bacteroidota. The record is from RNAcentral.
UAGGGAAUCUUCCGCAAUGGACGCAAGUCUGACGGAGCAACGCCGCGUGAGUGAAGAAGGAUUUCGGUUCGUAAAACUCUGUUGUUAGAGAAGAACAGCGCAUAGAGUAACUGUUAUGCGUGUGACGGUAUCUAACCAGAAAGCCACGGCUAACUACGUGCCAGCAGCCGCGGUAAUACGUAGGUGGCAAGCGUUGUCCGGAUUUAUUGGGCGUAAAGCGAGCGCAGGCGGUCAAUUAAGUCUGAUGUGAAAGCCCCCGGCUCAACCGGGGAGGGUCAUUGGAAACUGGUUGACUUGAGUGCAGAAGAGGAGAGUGGAAUUCCAUGUGUAGCGGUGAAAUGCGUAGAUAUAUGGAGGAACACCAGUGGCGAAGGCGACUCUCUGGUCUGUAACUGACGCUGAGGCUCGGAAGCGUGGGUAACAAACAGG